UACGAGGGGAGCAAGCGUUGUUCGGAUUUACUGGGCGUAAAGGGCGCGUAGGCGGCGUGACAAGUCAGUUGUGAAAUCUCCGAGCUUAACUCGGAACGGUCAACUGAUACUGUUUUGCUAGAGUGCAGAAAGGGCAACCGGAAUUCUUGGUGUAGCGGUGAAAUGCGUAGAUAUCAAGAGGAACACCUGAGGCGAAGGCGGGUUGCUAGGCUGACACUGACGCUGAGGCGCGAAAGCUAGGGUAGCAAACGGG
This 253-nucleotide ribosomal RNA is filed under the name uncultured bacterium. RNAcentral's name for it is "partial 16S ribosomal RNA". It matches the Rfam family "Bacterial small subunit ribosomal RNA", at positions 524 to 776 of the family's 1533-position model. The record is from RNAcentral.